RNAcentral lists this small RNA (4464 nucleotides) under Rattus norvegicus (Norway rat). RNAcentral's name for it is "uncharacterized LOC103692503". The record is from RNAcentral. Lineage: Eukaryota; Metazoa; Chordata; Mammalia; Rodentia; Muridae.
GGGAAGAAGGGCACAGGUCACCAUCAGGAAUCGGUUUGGGCCCCUGGCAUCACUGAAGGAGCAAGGAUAGCUUUGCUGCCCUUACCUCCCUGGCCCACACAAGGUGGCACUUCCUGCAUGUUUGUGCCCGGCAUCUAGAGGGGCAAUACAACUUCCUAGUGGAAAUGUGUUUUACUUCUAAAGAAGCAUUUGAGAGAGAGAUGACCCCACCCAUUUCUCAUCCUCUUCUUCCGCACAGCCAGCUUGUGCCUAGCUGGGCUCCCACCUCCGCUGGGAAGGCUGCCUUCUUGGCCUCCUGUGAGUCCAGACCACGCCCCAUCCCUGCUGUCUCCACACUGCAGCACUCUGCACCCUGAACUGCUACUGUGCGAUACGGAGCUGCCCUCCUCCUGCGGUGCUAAGAGCUCAAGGUCCCGUCUUCUUAGCUGCCGCUGCUGCACCACUAGAGUAGGAAUGGCUGUGUGUGCCAGUAACUCCAGCAGCCCGGGAGGCUGAGGCGGGAGGAUCGUGAGACUGGAGCCAACCUGAAUGAUGCCGUAAAGUGAGCCUCUGUCGCAAAAUGAGCAAAUGUCCAGGGUGCUUGCCCGACGGUGCUACUUCAUACAGCCCAGUCCCUUCCUCCCAGGAGCUAUUGACUCUGACCCUUAGCAUCCUAAACUGACAAAGGGAAAACGAAAGGCAUGAGAGUCCGCGCCCGUUGUCUUUCUGGGCACAGAACAAGGGGUGAGCAUGGCUUGGGUGAGAGUGGGCAGGUGAGGUGCAGAAGACGGAAGUGGGCGGGGCAGGCAUUUCUCUGGUUCACCUGCUUGAAGGUAACAGUACCUAGGGGAGCCAGAGAUAGGGACAGGGCCCUCCCCGGCUCUGGCAAACAAGAGGGUGGGAGUCAGUUUUAUUUAACCAGGACAUGUUUGUCAGCAUCUGGAGGUAAUUGGGUUGUCACACUGGAGGGGUGGUGUGUGUGUGUGUGUGUGUGUGUGUGUGUGUGUGUGUGUGUACAUUGCAUAUGGUAAGAAAUGCUCAGGGAAGUUAUGAAACACCCCACAGUGCACAAGGCAGCAAACAGCUAUACAGUCAAAGUCUAACCCAGUAGUGCCCCUUAGCAACAAGGGAUCUUCCCCGAGACACCCAAUCCCCCGUGGGUGCCUGAGACAGCACUGAGCCCAAUAAACAGUAUGGUUAGUCCCACACAUGCAAGCUGUGGUAAAGUGUGACUUAGAAAUCAAAUGAGCCAGGCCUGGUGGCUCAUGCUUGUAACCCCGGCACACGGAAGCUGAGGCAGGAGGAUCACAUGAGUUUGGGGGUCAACCUGUGCAACAGUUUCACAUCAACCUAGGCUAGCGUAAGAAACUCUGAAUGUUCAUUCUCUUGAUAUCUCGCUGCACGUUCAGCUUCCCUCUGAAAAGCCUUGACAGCUACUCUUUGGCAUCUGUGACCAUCCUUCCUUGUGAAUCUGUCAAACAUUCACAAUCAGCCCCUAUCAGCAAUCACCAAGCCUUCCUCUCCCAGUCUCCUCUCCUCACAAGGAGGCAGCAAAUACAGCCGUUGCCACAAGGGGGCGCACUUUCUCCCCGACCCAGGGUUUCCACCCUGGUGUUUCCCACCAACCAGCAGGAAGGGCCCUCUCUGUCAUUACCCGGGCGUCUUUGGCAGAAAGGGAAAACAACUGCAGCCACACUCGCAUGGUUUCUGUAAAUCCCACAUCUUUCUCUCUGGAUCCUCCACCCCAGGAAUCAAAAAGAGCAAAUGAUUCCACGUUCAUUUCACAGAAAACUGCAAAAGGACAGAAAAGCCAGAGAACCCUCAGUUCUGACUUUAGGAAAGCCCUGGACUUGGACGCUAUCCCUGACUUCCCCGUCACCAAAGGGUUAUGAAGACAAAGAGAAACGUGCAUGAAAGAGACUGACAGCUGGACUCUACUCUAGACCAAGAAGACACAACAAAAGCAAAAGGAAUGCAGAAUUAAAACUGAAAGGAAAUUACAUGAAGAGUAAGAGGGAAAGGACUCCAUAGUCUGCUUACAACUCGUUUGGGAGGCUAAUUUCAAAGUCUCAAGCCUUAUGGUUUAGCCUAUCUAGAAUUUUCCAUAAGCUUCCCAGGGCUCUGGGUCAGCCACAAAAUGGCUCUCUCAGUUUCUUAAGCUGAAAUCAACAAGACUGUUCAUACUCUGGCAAAACACUCCCCCUCACCUAAGCAGAUCACAUACGGCUCAGAAUGUCACCAGUGAGACAGAGGCUCCCAGGGCCACUAAUGGGCUUUAAAGAAUAUUAAUGCUUAAGGACAGCAACACAGGUCAUUUUGCACAGCAGUUACUUUAAUCGCCACGCCCGGGCUCCAUCCAAGCAGCAGCAGCGUUUCCUCAGCAGCCUCCUCCCUCCAAAAGUCCCUCAGUGACCGCCGCCGGGAGACUGCUCAAAGCACAUGCCGUCUACUUCACAUGGAGCCAGUUCCUGAAUGUCACCUGGCAGUCAUCCAGUGACACCUCCCAAGAUUAUGUUACUUUGGUAUUUGAUACCCAGUGGGUGUUGACAGUUACUACCAGACCUUCUCAGGAGCCCGUGUCACCUUCAUUAACACGCGUGACCCCCAUGGGUGGAGGCCUUGUUGUGUAGUGCUCCUUACUGACAAAACCAAGGGAAUCUUAGUAGUUCAGCUGGUUCUCCCAACUCCACUCCACUGAAACAAAACCGAGUUCUGGACAGUGAUAUGUGUCAAGCUGCCAUCAAAAACCGUUAUAUGGUUUUUAAUAUAACUAGGUGGCUCUGUGCUGCAGAUCAGACUGCCAGGUGUGGGGUCCCCUUACUAUGUGGAACAGGAUUCAAGGAUCACUUCUCCCUCUGGAUUAGCUGUAUGGAGAAUUCUACUUGCCCCAGGUCCCAGGAGAACAGAGAGUGAGCCCCCACUAUACAUUCAUGAGAGAUGUCACACAGGGCGACAGUGGCUACUUUUGCUCAACAGGACUGGCUCAUUCCACCAGUCAUCUUCAAGCCCAAGGGCACAGGAAUGCUCUCCGGUUCCAGAGUAAGAGGCAGAAUACAGCCUGAUACCUGAGGGCAUACACUGAUGUUUUCUAAUUGUCAGGGGUCAGGGGCCAGACUGAACACAUCCAGUCAUUAAAUGGAAACAGAAGCCAUCUGGGUUAGCAGUGGCUGUCCCUGGUUAUAAUAUGUCAGAAAAGGACGCUACGACCACAAAACUAAAUCCAGGAGGCUUACAUGACUUCACCCCAACAAGGAAUACUGAAAUAUAUCUCAGCAGAAGCUACUCUUAAAACAAUGCUGGGACUCUGUCCAAAGGCUGACACACAUUCUUGUUGCUUGCGUGUGCUGCAAACUGUACGUCUCUAGGACAAGAGUCCUGUUUAAAAUUUACAUUGAGAUUGAUGCUGACUCAACACAUUAUUAAAGUGGAACUCCAGUAGAUAUAGUAAAUGUCUAGACACUGACAGGAGAGUUCUGCUUGGACCAUACACCUACACUGCUUCAGUCCCAGACUCUGUGGCUCCCUAAAGACAUUACAGUCUUGCGCCAUCCAACGACUGGUGAGAACUUAAUCACAGGACCCCCCGGAGAAGUGGCUUCUUUAGCAAGCUUUCGGCUCUGGUUUGUUGGCCGAACACUAAUGUCUUCUUUAAGAUGUUUACAUUUCUUGUGACAUCUGCCUGGAUUUCUUAUCACUUCCCAUCCAAGGCUUAAGAAGGACACGGAGCCAGGACAAGUGGGGCAGAAAACACAAGUGUUUUCAAGACCCUCGUGGCUCAAAGUUGAAUCUGAUUUUUGGAACUGCAUUAAGUAAUCUGAUGCAGUCACGUAAGCUUAACCCCGCCCCAUCUCUAGUUCUCAGGAUUAGUCAGAAAGUAAGUGAAGCUUACAGAGACCCUUGAGGCCCUAAACACCCUUGUUACAACAUGGAGGAGGGGAAUGACGGUUUAGUUCCCGACACGUGACAGCUCACAACUGUUGCAGGCAAAACUCUCACAAGACAAACUUCAAAUCAUCUUAAAACAACAAUACCACCAUAGGGAGAUCUGCGGCAGUUUGCUGAGCAGCCUCUACUGGCCUUCCUCUUGGGGCUAACACACAGCUGACAAUGGCCUUCUGGCAGUCUUUGGCUGACUUAAGAGUCACUGUCAAACGAUGCUAGCGAUGUCUGCGAUGCUAACAAACUUGAUCACAUGCACUUGGCUCCUACUGCAGUCAAUCGUUGAUGAAGCAAAAGGUUCCCCCCAAAGGAUGUCAGUGUGAUGACAAACUGCCUAGUCUGAAGGGAAGGACUGAAGGACAAGGGGGCUGGGGCAGACCUGCCCUCUGUCCCUCAGUCAUAGUGUUCCUUUAAAAGUGGAACUGAAACCUACCAAGACGAUCCAGGGGGACCGGAAGGCAACCCUAAUACUUCUGGAAGAGGAAAGGGAUACUGGGAAGGGAGGCCAAACAAGUAAGUGAUGAGCAUGGAGCAGUGGACAGAAGG